CGUAGAGUUUCGAGUCCUGGACUCAAGGAUAAACGCUGGCGGCGUGACAUAACACAUGCAAGUCGAACGAUGAAGCUUAAUGAUCUCUUCGGAGUGAUUUUAAGUGGAUUAGUGGCGGACGGGUGAGUAACGCGUGAGUAACCUGCCUUGACACAAGGGGAUAGCCGUUGGAAACGACGAAUAAUACCCUAUGAUAUAAACUCUUCGCAUGAAGAGCUUAUCAAAGAUUUAUCGGUGUAAGAUGGACUCGCGUCUGAUUAGCUAGUUGGUGAGAUAACAGCUUACCAAGGCAACGAUCAGUAGCCGGCUUGAGAGAGUGUACGGCCACAUUGGGACUGAGACACGGCCCAGACUCCUACGGGAGGCAGCAGUGGGGAAUUUUGCACAAUGGGGGCAACCCUGAUGCAGCGACGCCGCGUGAUUUAGAAGGCCUUCGGGUUGUAAAAAUCUUUUGUAUGGGAAGAAAAUGACAGUACCAUACGAAUAAGGACCGGCUAAUUACGUG
This 505-nucleotide ribosomal RNA is filed under the name uncultured Anaerococcus sp. RNAcentral's name for it is "bacterial SSU rRNA". It matches the Rfam family "Bacterial small subunit ribosomal RNA", at positions 1 to 507 of the family's 1533-position model. The record is from RNAcentral. Lineage: Bacteria; Bacillati; Bacillota; Tissierellia; Tissierellales; Peptoniphilaceae.